This 927-nucleotide ribosomal RNA is filed under the name Triticum aestivum (bread wheat). RNAcentral describes it as "partial small subunit ribosomal RNA". Lineage: Eukaryota; Viridiplantae; Streptophyta; Magnoliopsida; Poales; Poaceae. The record is from RNAcentral.
AUGCCCGCCGCCCGCUUCUCCCUGCCACUCCCCAUGCCCAAAGGCAUCAUACCCUACCACAAACGUUGGAACAUAAUGGGCUGCCGCCACGGCCUCGCCGUCCUAGUCAACUUGUCGCAACACGAGAUCAUGGUGUUGGAUCCCCUGAGCCGGCAACAGUACCACGUGACUUGUCCACCAGGGCUCAUGCUUGGGCAGGACUCCACCGUGGUGUGCUGUCAUGCUGCGGUGGUGUGCACUGACAAUGAAGAUGGGCACGUGCAUGGCGAUUGCUUCUCGAGACCGCUCAAAUUGGUCUUUAUCUGGGUCACUGAGAACCUAGAAGACAUGCACACGCAAGCAUUCGCUUGCCUCUAUGAAUCGGUGUCUGGUCUAUGGGGAGAUAUUUCCUCUAUGGAGUGUACGUACGAGGUUUAUGACAUAGGGCCUAGUGUCCUUGUUGAGAAUGCACUUUGUUGGUUGCUUUUUGGAAGUGAUGUCCUUGUAUUUGAUCUUCAGAGUCAGAGACUUAGUGUGAUCAAGAAGCCGAUAGACACCGACUCCUAUGGAUCAGUCCAACUCUUACGGACGGAUGAUGGUGGACUUGGCCUUGCAUAUUUGUCGGAACUGACCAUCCAAUUAUGGGAGAGGAAAUCAAACUGUGAUGGUGUUGUCAGUUGGGUGUUGUUGCAGAAAACCAUUCAAUUGGAUGAGCUCUUUCCACACAGAGUGUUUAGUGACUUCAAAAUGGUACUGAUAUCGGGGUAUGACGAGGACACACAUGUUAUUAUUCUGUCUGCGGUGACUGGCGUGUUCAUGCUCCAACUUGACUCCAUGCAGAUCAAUCAUAUUACCAAAAGAAAUAGCAUAUAUUACCUCACCUUUCAUCCCUACACAAAUUUCUAUACUACAGGCUAUACCUCCAUGCCUACAUGGGACAAACAGUAA